AGCUUGCUCUCGGGUGACGAGUGGCGGACGGGUGAGUAAUGUCUGGGAAACUGCCUGAUGGAGGGGGAUAACUACUGGAAACGGUAGCUAAUACCGCAUAACGUCGCAAGACCAAAGAGGGGGACCUUCGGGCCUCUUGCCAUCAGAUGUGCCCAGAUGGGAUUAGCUAGUAGGUGGGGUAACGGCUCACCUAGGCGACGAUCCCUAGCUGGUCUGAGAGGAUGACCAGCCACACUGGAACUGAGACACGGUCCAGACUCCUACGGGAGGCAGCAGUGGGGAAUAUUGCACAAUGGGCGCAAGCCUGAUGCAGCCAUGCCGCGUGUAUGAAGAAGGCCUUCGGGUUGUAAAGUACUUUCAGCGGGGAGGAAGGUGCUGAGGUUAAUAACCUUGUCGAUUGACGUUACCCGCAGAAGAAGCACCGGCUAACUCCGUGCCAGCAGCCGCGGUAAUACGGAGGGUGCAAGCGUUAAUCGGAAUUACUGGGCGUAAA
Molecule: ribosomal RNA, 493 nt
Filed under: Klebsiella michiganensis
Lineage: Bacteria; Pseudomonadati; Pseudomonadota; Gammaproteobacteria; Enterobacterales; Enterobacteriaceae
Description: bacterial SSU rRNA
Rfam family: Bacterial small subunit ribosomal RNA
Source: RNAcentral